RNAcentral lists this ribosomal RNA (388 nucleotides) under uncultured bacterium. RNAcentral's name for it is "partial 16S ribosomal RNA". It matches the Rfam family "Bacterial small subunit ribosomal RNA", at positions 523 to 918 of the family's 1533-position model. The record is from RNAcentral.
AUACGUAGGUGGCGAGCGUUAUCCGGAAUUAUUGGGCGUAAAGGGUGCGCAGGCGGCCUGUUAAGUUUAAGGUGAAAGCGUGGGGCUUAACCCCAUACAGCCUUAGAUACUGGCAGGCUAGAGUACUGGAGAGGAAAGAGGCAUUCCAUGUGUAGCGGUAAAAUGCGUAGAUAUAUGGAGGAACACCAGUGGCGAAGGCGGCUUUCUAGCCAGUAACUGACGCUGAGGCACGAAAGCGUGGGGAGCAAAUAGGAUUAGAUACCCUAGUAGUCCACGCUGUAAACGAUGAAUACUAAGUGUUGGGGAAACUCAGUGCUGCAGCUAACGCAAUAAGUAUUCCGCCUGUGGAGUAUGCACGCAAGUGUGAAACUUAAAGGAAUUGACGGGG